UGUUUGCUGUGAUGACAUCUACAAGGACGGUAUCUGAGUAAGGUGGCUCUUGAAAGAGUACUCCUUGCGUGAUUACAUCCAAAACUGAUCAGAGAUUCUGAGCAAACA
Oryza rufipogon (brownbeard rice) is the source of this 108-nucleotide small nucleolar RNA. It matches the Rfam family "Small nucleolar RNA Z118/Z121/Z120". Rfam says of the family: This family consists of several snoRNA Z118, Z121 and Z120 sequences which are members of the C/D class of snoRNA which contain the C (UGAUGA) and D (CUGA) box motifs. This family seems to be found exclusively in rice. C/D box small nucleolar RNAs are known to act as a methylation guides for 18S ribosomal RNA in plants. NCBI's taxonomy places the organism in Eukaryota, Viridiplantae, Streptophyta, Magnoliopsida, Poales, Poaceae. The record is from Rfam.